This 571-nucleotide ribosomal RNA is filed under the name uncultured fungus. RNAcentral describes it as "eukaryotic LSU rRNA". The stretch from base 208 to 361 matches the Rfam family "5.8S ribosomal RNA". The record is from RNAcentral. Lineage: Eukaryota; Fungi.
UUGGUCAUUUAGAGGAAGUAAAAGUCGUAACAAGGUUUCCGUAGGUGAACCUGCGGAAGGAUCAUUACCUAGAGUUGUAGGCUUUGCCUGCUAUCUCUUACCCAUGUCUUUUAAGUACCUUACGUUUCCUCGGCGGGUCCGCCCGCCGAUUGGACAAUUUAAACCAUUUGCAGUUGCAAUCAGCGUCUGAAAAAACUUAAUAGUUACAACUUUCAACAACGGAUCUCUUGGUUCUGGCAUCGAUGAAGAACGCAGCGAAAUGCGAUAAGUAGUGUGAAUUGCAGAAUUCAGUGAAUCAUCGAAUCUUUGAACGCACAUUGCGCCCCUUGGUAUUCCAUGGGGCAUGCCUGUUCGAGCGUCAUUUGUACCUUCAAGCUCUGCUUGGUGUUGGGUGUUUGUCUCGCCUCUGCGUGUAGACUCGCCUCAAAACAAUUGGCAGCCGGCGUAUUGAUUUCGGAGCGCAGUACAUCUCGCGCUUUGCACUCAUAACGACGACGUCCAAAAGUACAUUUUUACACUCUUGACCUCGGAUCAGGUAGGGAUACCCGCUGAACUUAAGCAUAUCAAUAAG